This is a long non-coding RNA of Cyprinus carpio (common carp), 371 nucleotides long. RefSeq lists it as uncharacterized. The transcript is spliced from 3 exons. NCBI's taxonomy places the organism in Eukaryota, Metazoa, Chordata, Actinopteri, Cypriniformes, Cyprinidae. The record is from RefSeq and is a predicted model, not a curated record.
GUGGUGCAGAGAUGGAGUUGUCUAUUGGCCAAACUACAGAAAUGAUAAAAGAGUAAACAGGGCAGUGAAAAAUUCGGAGGAGCCUGGACCUGACUGAUAACAUAUGAUGUCAGAGUUAUUAAAACAUGUGAUGACUAGUUUGAGGCACAACGACUCUUAAAGAAGUCUCUGAUGUGUAACACAUCAGAUCUACAGUCUGAAGAGGAAGAGGAGGAGAUUAAACCAAAGAGAAGGCCAAAGCCAAUUCAUUUCUUUGGAGACACAGAUGAUGACAGUGAGGAGGAAGGUCAUCCUCAUAAGAAGAGAGCCAGGGGUCCAGCCAAACUCUUAACCGAACCACCAGCUCCUGUUAUAUCAACACCACCUUUUAU